CUGCCGGCAAACCUAGUGUAUUCUGCUGCAGAACAAGGAGGUCCUCUCUAUGUACAUGUUGAGCUUUCUGAUAGGCCUUUUUGAGAGAUCGUCUGCUGUAACCACGCUGGAGGAAACGUUCCGGUUGUCACUGAACACCUCAUUAAUCUGAGUGAGCCACACCAACUCACGUGCUUUAAAAUCCAUCUCUGACCCAACUUUUUCAGCUGUGGAAACCACAGAAUAAAAGCCAAUCAGAGAGCAGCACUACUGAAAUAGAACUCCCAGGAGUGAGGGGCCGGUGCUGGACACUGUGUAGGGACGCGGGAAUGCAAAGUCAUACACAUGACUGUGACUGAUGCACUAUCUCCAGGACAUGGAGUAGCAUUUCCGGACCUACAGCAAGACGUUGGAUGAAGGCAUAGCCCCAGAAAUAACACUGGUCCUGUUCAUCAGUGAGGGGCCGGUGCUGGACACUGUGUAGGGACACGGGAAUGCAAAGUCAUGCACAUGACUGUGACUGAUGCACUAUUUCCAGGACAUGGAGUAGCAUUUCGGGACCUACAGCAAGACGUUGGAUGAAGGCACAGGCCUAGGAAUCAUGCACAUACACAGAAACAUUUGCCCAAAUUCUAGAGGUAACCUCCUUUAGUAUGCCCAGAGGAAGGGCCAUACAGUAGCCAUGGAUUCCCUACAGGUUUCCUCCCCUCUGGAGGUUUUUCCUGUCCUGAGUAUUAGUUACUGUACGCUCUUUGUGAGUGAUGGGAGGUUAAAAAAAAUCCCCUACACAAACAUUUUAAUAAAUAAUAAAUAAAGUUCCCCUUUUUUUAAACUGUU
This is a long non-coding RNA of Hyla sarda, 816 nucleotides long. RefSeq lists it as uncharacterized. Lineage: Eukaryota; Metazoa; Chordata; Amphibia; Anura; Hylidae. The transcript is spliced from 7 exons. The record is from RefSeq and is a predicted model, not a curated record.